GAUCAUGGCUCAGGAUGAACGCUGGCGGCGUGCCUAACACAUGCAAGUCGAACGGAGAUUAACGCUGAUGAGGCUUCGGCGGAAUCUGUUAAAUCUUAGUGGCGGACGGGUGAGUAACGCGUGGGCAACCUGCCUCGUACUGGGGGAUAACAGCUGGAAACGACUGUUAAUACCGCAUAAGCGCACGGUACCGCAUGGUACAGUGUGAAAAACUCCGGUGGUACGAGAUGGGCCCGCGUCAGAUUAGCCAGUUGGUGGGGUAACGGCCUACCAAAGCAACGAUCUGUAGCCGGACUGAGAGGUCGGACGGCCACAUUGGGACUGAGACACGGCCCAAACUCCUACGGGAGGCAGCAGUGGGGGAUAUUGCACAAUGGGCGAAAGCCUGAUGCAGCGACGCCGCCGUGAGUGAAGAAGUAUUUCGGUAUGUAAAGCUCUAUCAGCAGGGAAGAAAGACUCGUAAGAGAGAUGACGGUACCCGACUAAGAAGCCCCGGCUAACUACGUGCCAGCCGCCGC
This 518-nucleotide ribosomal RNA is filed under the name uncultured bacterium. RNAcentral describes it as "bacterial SSU rRNA". It matches the Rfam family "Bacterial small subunit ribosomal RNA", at positions 15 to 518 of the family's 1533-position model. The record is from RNAcentral.